UACAGAGGGUGCAAGCGUUAAUCGGAAUUACUGGGCGUAAAGCGUGCGUAGACGGUCAUGUAAGUCGGGUGUGAAAGCCCCGGGCUCAACCUGGGAAUUGCAUUCGAGACUGCAUGGCUAGGAUGCGGAAGAGGGAAGCGGAAUUUCCGGUGUAGCGGUGAAAUGCGUAGAUAUCGGAAGGAACACCAGUGGCGAAGGCGGCUCACUGGACCGGAACUGACGCUGAGGCGCGAAAGCGUGGGGAGCAAACAGG
RNAcentral lists this ribosomal RNA (253 nucleotides) under uncultured bacterium. RNAcentral's name for it is "partial 16S ribosomal RNA". It matches the Rfam family "Bacterial small subunit ribosomal RNA", at positions 524 to 776 of the family's 1533-position model. The record is from RNAcentral.